This is a non-coding RNA of Schistosoma mansoni, 114 nucleotides long. Lineage: Eukaryota; Metazoa; Platyhelminthes; Trematoda; Strigeidida; Schistosomatidae. The record is from Rfam.
GUAGGAUAUGGAGAUAUGAGACCUGUAACAAUGUGGGGAAAGAUUGUAGGUUCAAUGUGUGCAAUUGCUGGUGUUCUAACUAUAGCACUUCCUGUACCUGUUAUUGUGUCAAAC